GAUGAACGCUGGCGGCGUGCCUAAUACAUGCAAGUCGAGCGAACGGACGAGAAGCUUGCUUCUCUGAUGUUAGCGGCGGACGGGUGAGUAACACGUGGAUAACCUACCUAUAAGACUGGGAUAACUUCGGGAAACCGGAGCUAAUACCGGAUAAUAUUUUGAACCGCAUGGUUCAAAAGUGAAAGACGGUCUUGCUGUCACUUAUAGAUGGAUCCGCGCUGCAUUAGCUAGUUGGUAAGGUAACGGCUUACCAAGGCAACGAUGCAUAGCCGACCUGAGAGGGGGGUAGGCCACACUGGAACUGAGACACGGUCCAGACUCCUACGGGAGGCAGCAGUAGGGAAUCUUCCGCAAUGGGCGAAAGCCUGACGGAGCAACGCCGCGUGAGUGAUGAAGGUCUUCGGAUCGUAAAACUCUGUUAUUAGGGAAGAACAGAUGUGUAAGGAACUGUGCACAUCUUGACGGUACCUAAUCAGAAAGCCACGGCUAACUACGUG
Molecule: ribosomal RNA, 497 nt
Filed under: uncultured bacterium
Lineage: Bacteria
Description: partial 16S ribosomal RNA
Rfam family: Bacterial small subunit ribosomal RNA
Source: RNAcentral